AUAGGAGAGAGUUGGUAAUCUUUAGAAAGUAACACACCAUGUAUUUACUCCCUCACAGGCAUAAGAGGAAUAAAUGAACGUGCAGGUAGUAGGGAAUGGACACUAGGAAGGAGGAGGAGAACAUUCACACACUUUGAACACAGAGACGUACCUACACCCUGGUGAAGUCUCUUAACUUGUUUUCAGUCACUUAGCCACAUGAAGUUUCCCCAUCUCCACCUUUGCCAUUGUGAUGAGCACAUGAGAGGAGGGAAAAAGUAUCUUCAUUCUCCCCAUUUAUUCACUCAACAAAUAUUCUUGAGCACCCACCACAGCGCUGUGCCUAGGUAGCACUGUAUUAGGCACAGAGCAUCUGGGAAAACUGUUCAAGUUCCCUCCACCCCACCCCUACCACCACCACCAAUCAUGACUUACAAUAUGCCUCUUGGUCCUGAAUCCCAAAACAGUAUAAUAACAAAAAUAUCCCACUAGCUUUUUUCCCCCCUUUUAGUAAGUUCCCUUUCAUUAAAAUUCAAAACUUCUAUUUCAGAUUAUCUGCCCUAAGCACACCUUCUACUGUGGAAAUCUUUAAUCCUUCAAUUAAAGUUUCUAGUAAUAGAGAGAUUAGGUCAAAAAAGUAUCUUCUUUAGUUGACCCAGAACCAAACAUUGUUCUUAAUACUUUUCAAUCACCUGCUUACACUUUUAUUUCUAAAACAUUGGUUAUAUUAUGUACCUAUCACCUCCAGCUUAUGUCAUAGUAGAAAGUAUAUGGAAACCAGUUAGAACUUCAGCUCUAUAAUUUAUGAGCUGUUGGAUCAGUCUCCUUAUUUAGUCUCUCAAAGCCUCAUUUUCCUCAUCUGUCAAAUGGAAAGAACACCUAAUUUAAAGGAUUUCAUGAGGAUCAAAAUCAAUCCUGGCAGUAAAGGCUUAAGCCAUGCCUGACACACAGUACACACUUAACUGUAGGUUCUUUUCACCUUUCUUGCCCAGAAUCACUGUUCAUUCAUUCAUCAAAUUCACACUGAUGCUUAAAUUGUGCAAGGCACUGCUUCAGGCCCUAAGGAUGUAAAAUGGGUAAGUAGGACAAUGUACCUAGUGUUAUGCAGCUUCUAUUCUAAUGGGAGGAGACAGGCAGUGAAUGAAUAAAAAGAUAGCAGCCAGUGAUAAAUUCUAGAAUUAAAAUUAAGCAGGAAAUAAGUGGCGAAGGGGGACAGUGUCUGCUUUAUGCUGAGUGAUCAGAGAGGCCCUUUCUGGGAAGGUGAAGUUGAGCUGAGACAUAAAUGACUUGUAAAUGAGUAAAGUCAACUGAAUAUCUGGAAGAAGAGCUCUCUAGAAAGGGGGCACAGCUAGUGAGAGCCCUCAGGAAGGAAUGGACUUGGAGGAUUUUAUCCAAGGGGUGGGACACUGGUGGGCAAAGGCCCAACCAUUGUGGGCUGCUUGGUCAGAGUAAAGAGCUUAUAUUUUCUUCUCAGUGCAAUGAGGAGCCUGUGGAGAAUUUAAACCAAAGAAGGAACAGGAUCUAAACUAUGUGAGUCUGAACCACCUGGAAGAGUAGGCUAACAAGAGAAAAGGGAGGGGAAUCAUUUUGGAGGCUACUGCAGUCACGCAGGUGAGAGAUGUGGAGACCUGGAGCACCAUGGAGGCCAUAGGAAUGAAAGAUAAACAGGUGCUGGAGAGAUGUCAAAGUAACAAUCUACAGAUUUGCGACUGGAUCAAAAGGAGGGGGAAAGCAAGGGGCUGAGAUGUAUCCCUAGGACUUGAUUAGACAGAGGUGCCAUUUACCAAGAUUGAGAACACAAAGGAAGGAAUAUAUUUAUGGGAGAAUAUCAAGAUUUCAGUGCUGGACAUUAAAAGUUUGAGAUACCUCUUAAACAUCUAAGGGAAUAUGACUACAAGAUAAUAUAUAUAUAUAACUAAAUAUAUGAGUGAGGAUUUCAGAAGAUGGACCAGGGCUUAAGAAAUAAAAGUAUGAAGUUGAAAGAAAUUACCCUAAUGAUAGUAUUUAAAGCCACAGAACUGGAUGAGAUUCCCAAGGAUGUUGACGGAGAAAAAGGGUCAAAGUUCAGGACUUGGGGCCAAACAAUACAUAGGAGUCCAGGUGAGGAUUCUAAGGAAGAAAGCCAGUAUAGAAAAACCAAGAGAGUAUGAAAUUAAAAUGCCAAGAGAGUGUUAAGCAACGAGGGUAUGAUUUACAAUUGCUAGAGUCACCGGGCGGGCUUCACAAGUACCCCAUUAUCAGCAAACCAGUAUUACGCCCAAUCACCAACCUGUCAACCUCACGAACCAUUUCAGCACCCACUCCUCAGAUUUAUCAGUGUUAUGGGUUGCAUUGUGUCAACAAAAUAAGUUAUGUUGGAGUCCUAACCCCGGUACCUCAGAAUGCAACCUAAUUUAGAGAUAGGGUCUUUACAGAGGUAAUUGAGUUAAAUGAGGCCAUCAGGGUGGGCCUUAAUUCAAUAUGACUAGUGUCUUAUAAAAAGAGGACACAGAGACACACACACCCAGGGAGAUCACCAUGUGAAAAUGAAGGCAGAGAACAGGGUGAUGGAACGGAAGCCAAGGAACACUGAAGAUCGUCGGCAAACCACCGGAAGCUGGGAGCCAGGCAAGCACAGACUCCGUCACAGCCUCAUGGACCAAGGAAGUGACAUCUUGAUUGUAGACUUCUACUCAGAAUUCUGAGACAAUAAAUUUCUGCUUCUACUUAAUCCUAGUUCCUCCUACUCCGUUACAUCGACACGGCCCACUUUGACUACUGCAACCUCACAUUGGUCACUACCUCACCUGGGAUUCUUCAGAAAAUCCAACUGGAUCUGUCCAUUAGGUGCCCCCCAAUCUAGUUGGCUGUGGCUACCUAUUGAGUUGUAAGGAACUAAAUAUGGCAACCCACUCAGGGCAGCCACAGAGAAUGAUGCCUAGUAGGCGAAGUAUCACCUUUGUUUUUGACAGAAAAACUGUCUACUGAUCACUUCUGUCACAGAUAAGCCUGCCAGCCAAGACUCCACCCCUCCCUGGCCCAUGCCUGAGCAUAUGAUGCCCCUGGUGUAAUAAUGCUCACGCACGCUGUGUGUCUCUGUGUGAUGGCAGUAGCUGAUUGCAAGUGAAUAAAUGAGAAUCUUGUCUGGCUCCUCCAAGAGAAGACAAAUGGGCCGGAGUUGCAGGGCAUAUCUGAUCGAAAUGGAACCCAAACAUCCAGGCAUCAGAAGGAGGCAAGAGACAGAGAACUACAUAGUUCUGCGAAGCUCAGCAGAGACCUGCCCCUUUAGUAAACCAGAGGUCUCCAUCUGUGUUUGGAGUAAAAGCUGGAAACCAGAAAAGAGAAGCUGCUUUGGUAAAAGUCAAAAGGAACUCAGCCUAGGCCAGGGGUAAGCUUGCACUUGAACUAGAAAGAGAAUCUCAAUUUUUCCCAGGAGAAAAGGAGAGAAAUGCUGAGAUACAGCAAGACUGGGCUCACUGUGCCAGGCUAAGACAUCUUGCUCAGAGCACAUGAAGUCUCUGUAUCAGACUUAUGUAGUCACCAAACAGUGAACCAGGCUCUGCAAUAAAUACCUGCAUUUGCAGGCCUGAAUACAUAACGGUGUUUAGAAAGCAAGUCAUCUAACAAUUUCUUUUUUUCAAAGGUGGCUCUAUUCCAAAUAAAGUAUUUAAAUGAUA
Canis lupus familiaris (dog) is the source of this 3635-nucleotide long non-coding RNA. RefSeq lists it as uncharacterized. NCBI's taxonomy places the organism in Eukaryota, Metazoa, Chordata, Mammalia, Carnivora, Canidae. The record is from RefSeq and is a predicted model, not a curated record. The transcript has 2 exons.